CAAUAGCGUAUAUUAAAGUUGUUGCAGUUAAAAAGCUCGUAGUUGGAUUUCGGGGCAGCCUGGCUGGUCCGCCGCAAGGCGAGUACUGGUCAGCCGCCCUUCCUCUCGAAAGCCCCGACUGCUCUUUAUUGCAGUGGUCGGGUAGUUCGGGACGUUUACUUUGAAAAAAUUAGAGUGUUCAAGGCAGGCCUACGCCUGAAUACAUUAGCAUGGAGUAAUGGAAGAGGACCUCGGUCCUAUUUUGUUGGUUUCCAGGACCGAAGUAAUGAUUAAGAGGGACAGUUGGGGGCAUUCGUAUUUAAUCGUCAGAGGUGAAAUUCUCGGAUUUAUGAAAGACGAACAACUGCGAAAGCAUUUGCCAAGGAUGUUUUCAUUAA
This 377-nucleotide ribosomal RNA is filed under the name uncultured eukaryote. RNAcentral's name for it is "partial 18S ribosomal RNA". It matches the Rfam family "Eukaryotic small subunit ribosomal RNA", at positions 592 to 976 of the family's 1831-position model. The record is from RNAcentral.